UACGAAGGUGGCUAGCGUUGUUCGGAAUCACUGGGCGUAAAGCGCGCGCAGGUGGCUUUUCAAGUUAGGAGUGAAAGCCUGGGGCUCAACCCCAGAACUGCUCUUAAGACUGAGUAGCUAGAGUGUGGGAGAGGAUAGCGGAAUUCCGUGUGUAGAGGUGAAAUUCGUAGAUAUACGGAGGAACACCAAUGGCGAAGGCAGCUAUCUGGAACACAACUGACACUGAGGCGCGAAAGUGUGGGGAUCAAACAGG
Molecule: ribosomal RNA, 253 nt
Filed under: uncultured bacterium
Lineage: Bacteria
Description: partial 16S ribosomal RNA
Rfam family: Bacterial small subunit ribosomal RNA
Source: RNAcentral